UCCCUGGUGGCUUAGGUGGUAAAGUAUCCGUCUACAAAGCGGAAGUCCCAGGUCCGAUCCCUGGUUGGUAAG
RNAcentral lists this transfer RNA (72 nucleotides) under Bos taurus (domestic cattle). It matches the Rfam family "tRNA". Rfam says of the family: Transfer RNA (tRNA) molecules are approximately 80 nucleotides in length. Their secondary structure includes four short double-helical elements and three loops (D, anti-codon, and T loops). The record is from Rfam by way of RNAcentral. RNAcentral also lists the same sequence under 1 other name. Lineage: Eukaryota; Metazoa; Chordata; Mammalia; Artiodactyla; Bovidae.